Molecule: long non-coding RNA, 252 nt
Organism: Tupaia belangeri chinensis (Chinese tree shrew)
Lineage: Eukaryota; Metazoa; Chordata; Mammalia; Scandentia; Tupaiidae
Exons: 3
Source: RefSeq, a predicted model, not a curated record
CUGAGUGCUCUCAUUCAUGUGUGGAAUACACGAGUAAUCUCAUGGAAACACUGUCAGAAUCUGGACUGUGCAGUGUGCUCAGGAGUUGCUAUGCAGUGUGGCCAAGGACUGCACGGUGCCUGGUGGCUUAGCUGACCCUGGCCUGGAAGAACCCAGUGGCCCCUGGAAUGGACUAAGAUGAAGCUUUCUGUUUCUGACUGCACUUGAGUGGCCAAGAAUCCAAGAUGAUGAAUUAAUUAGUGUUAUUGACUU